GUCAGGAUGGCCGAGUGGUUUAAGGCGCCAGACUCACGUUCUGGUCUCCAUAUGGAGGCGUGGGUUCAAAUCCAACUUCUGACA
This 84-nucleotide transfer RNA is filed under the name Dallia pectoralis (Alaska blackfish). RNAcentral's name for it is "tRNA-OTHER". It matches the Rfam family "tRNA". Rfam says of the family: Transfer RNA (tRNA) molecules are approximately 80 nucleotides in length. Lineage: Eukaryota; Metazoa; Chordata; Actinopteri; Esociformes; Umbridae. The record is from RNAcentral.